CACAUACUUCGUAUAGAAUGCCCAAAGUGACAAAAAUAAUAAAAUCAAGUCAAGGUUCAGUUGUUAGUAGUAUAUAUAUUAUGAAAAUAUGUAAAUGAAAAGAUAUGGCCUGAAAGUGACUAUCUCUCUUCUUCAGCAAGAAUUAUAUGAACCAAAUCUAAGUUGUCCUAUUUAGCUAUUCACACAAGAAUAUAUCCAUCCUUUAAUUACUGUCAACGAUUCGAAGGACUCAAGAACAGUAAGAUGGAAACUCCUUCAACUAAUGAAACUUAUGGUGUCCUAUUCGUGGUAUGAAAUAACGACUUCAUAUCCAACUUUCAGCUAAUCACAAUAUCAAAUCUAUAUAAAGAUAAAGGACAAUUCAACUAUGAUAAAAUAAAUAAACCAGGAAAUUAGCAUGGUACAAUUACAACUCAAACAGGACAUUAUGAUAAAUACAUAUCACGGCAUGAAACAAGGAUGAAAGAAGCAUAUUAAACUAAUCAUGAACUAAUGUCUGCCAAUUAAACUUCGAAGCAUUUCAUUUCCAUUUUUCUCGAAUCAAAUUGGAAGGUUACAUUUGUAUGAAUUUCAGAAGUGUGUACCUGGAAGUAAAAUGAAAGGAAGAAAAAGUGAGGGUCAGUAGCACAACAACAACAGCUCAGCAGUAAACCAGAGACAGUUGAAUCCAAUAGUAGCCAAGAAUAAUUCAAAAUUCAACCAAACAUCCCAUGAGAUUAACUCAGACGCUAAUGAAAAACAGCAAACUCUGUUUGCAUAAAUCAGAACAAUCUUUCUAAAAAAGAUCCAAUUCAAACCACUUCAAAUCCCUCAAUGAAUCCCAAAUUGUUUCAGCUAAUUGGAGCAAAGACACUAUUGUAAUAGUAUAAGAUUGCAACUAUUUGUAUUUCUAGAUCUUCUACACUCUCAGUGUGUCUAAUUUGUCAAACUCAAAGUGUUUUUCUAGUAAGCUCUCUCUUGUAUCUCUGUUAAACUCUCAAUUUCUCUUGACCGAUUGUCUUUUUUCAAGUUUUUGUUCUCCAAAAUAUGAUCCCUUAAAAUUAUCCAAAUGACUCCUAUUUAUUUGAAACAAGACCUUCUUUCCCUCCCCCUUUAACUAUUACUAUUACCCUUUUAUUAUUAGCUCUUACUUUAAUUUCCAACCCCCAAAUAUGCUCUUCUAUGUGUGCUUUUCAGCUUUUUAUCAUUACUUAAAUAUUCCUAAUUCUCAAUCAACCAAAAGCAGUCAAAUGUUAUCAUUUUCAAUGGUCCCCCCUAAUACUCUUUGUCUAUUAACUUUUCACUUCCACUUAUAAUUGUCUCCAAUCAGUUUAUUAGCAUCUUUAACUUAAUUACUAGUGGUUAAAUUCAAAUAAACACCUGAAAUCCCCUUUCAAACUGUAACAUACCCACAACUAAAUCUAAUUCAAACCUGCUAACUAAUUAAAUUGACUCCUAAUCGAUACAAAUAAAUUGAAUUUAAAUAAAAAUCACAUAAAAGACUUAACAGAAUACUGAAGUUGGAACUUAAGCUAAAGCUGAAUCCCAAUCUCAUUGAUACUUAACAGAAGACUCAACAACAGUUUGCAAUUUGGCCUUAAAUUAGAUCAAUGGUAUCACAACAAUCAGAACAAAACCAUAUUGAACUAUAAAUGGUAUAGAUACAAGGAGCAAACCUAAUACAUUUCUAAAUUAAACCUAAAAUAAAUGUGUGAACAACUCAACACAGACAAGAUAUAAAGAUGAAUGAGCUCAUAUGCAAGGAUGAUGAAUGACAGAGAGAGAAAGGAACAAAUACAAACGAACAAUCUGAACUAGGAAUAACAACAUAUAACUAUGGGAAUAAUCAAAAUUUUGUACCAUAACUUAUGGGCAUUGACUGCUUCGACUCACUUAACCAAACUAGAAGAAGAAAAUUUCAGGGUAAAUGAACUAACUGACCAACCUAUUCAAUUGAUUUGAACAGCCUAUAACAUGUGCUAAUCAAUCAGAAGAAUAAAAAUGGACCAUAAAAAAGGUCUGAUGGAGAAAGAGAAUGAAUUACAUAAGUAAUACAUUAAAACGAAGCUUAAUCAGAUAAAAUAAAAGGGAAAUACGACAACAAGAAAAAUCAGAAAAGAGAAGAAAUACCUUAAAACUACAAGCUAAACUUCAAUAUGUUCCAAUUGAAACUUUGACUUGAGGUUUUGAAGCCAAAAUGGACCUUAAUCGAGUGUUCUCGACUGAGAACACUUGACUAAGGUCGAUUACGACCUCAAAUUCUUUUGGCUUUUCUAGGGCUAGUUCUGUUGAAAUAAAAUUCGAAGAACUCUGCAAUGAUUUGAGUGAAACCAUUAUAGGCUUUGGGGCAAGAGUGGUCUGGUGGUCAAAUGUUGUAUCUUUGAGAAGGUUGGGCAGUUUUAGGGUUUUGCUCGAACCUUCUAUUGAAGAUUUGAGACGGCCUGGGAUGAUUCGAGGCAAGAUGAGUAUAUAUUUGGAGAGGGGAUUGUUUGGUGGUUCUAUGGUGUGAAGAUGAAGUUAUUUGUCCAUCGUCCGCCGCCGUGGGCAAUUUCCGGUGGGCGGAGGAUGGCGGAUUGAUGCGGAGCAAUUUUGGUCUCUGAAGGCUCAGAGACGAAGAGGGUAAAGGGAGGGGUUG
This 2614-nucleotide long non-coding RNA is filed under the name Nicotiana benthamiana. RNAcentral's name for it is "long non-coding RNA (NBEN_LNC006824)". The record is from RNAcentral. Lineage: Eukaryota; Viridiplantae; Streptophyta; Magnoliopsida; Solanales; Solanaceae.